UUAAACAAGAUCACCUUGAGAUCACAUGAACACCUUUAUAUUCACAACAUGAUUGCCUUUACUUCAUUUGAUUCUCAUUCAAGUCCUUCACAUCCCAUUCACAUAUAUGAUAUCAUGUCAACACUUCAAUUCCUCAUAUAAUGCCUCCAAGGCCAUAAACACAAUACAUUCAAUAAGUAAACACCUCCACCAUAAGUGGAUCACACAUCAAUCUAUCACAAUUCUAUAUCAAUUCUACCUUAACAAUGAAGUUAGGUCCACUUACCCUUUUUCCCAAGCCACAAUCACCAUUCCUCAACUCUCCAACAAUUCACAAUAGAUAAGCAUAGA
RNAcentral lists this long non-coding RNA (330 nucleotides) under Solanum tuberosum (potato). RNAcentral's name for it is "long non-coding RNA (STUB_LNC008197)". Lineage: Eukaryota; Viridiplantae; Streptophyta; Magnoliopsida; Solanales; Solanaceae. The record is from RNAcentral.